Molecule: ribosomal RNA, 995 nt
Filed under: uncultured bacterium
Lineage: Bacteria
Description: bacterial SSU rRNA
Rfam family: Bacterial small subunit ribosomal RNA
Source: RNAcentral
AGAGUUUGAUCCUGGCUCAGGACGAACGCUGGCGGCGUGCCUAAUACAUGCAAGUCGAGCGCGGGAAGCAAACAGAACUUCUUCGGGAGUGACGUUUGUGGAACGAGCGGCGGACGGGUGAGUAACACGUGGGCAACCUACCUGUAAGACUGGGAUAACUCCGGGAAACCGGUGCUAAUACCAGAUAGGCACCAUUUGCGCAUGCGGAUGGUGUGAAAGGCGGGGCAACCUGCCGCUUACAGAUGGGCCUGCGGCGCAUUAGCUAGUUGGUGAGGUAACGGCUCACCAAGGCGACGAUGCGUAGCCGACCUGAGAGGGUGACCGGCCACACUGGGACUGAGACACGGCCCAGACUCCUACGGGAGGCAGCAGUAGGGAAUCUUCCGCAAUGGGCGAAAGCCUGACGGAGCAACGCCGCGUGAGCGAGGAAGGUCUUCGGAUCGUAAAGCUCUGUUGUGAGGGAAGAAAGGAUGCAGGAGUAACUGUCUGCAGGUUGACGGUACCUCACGAGGAAGCCCCGGCUAACUACGUGCCAGCAGCCGCGGUAAUACGUAGGGGGCGAGCGUUGCCCGGAAUUAUUGGGCGUAAAGCGCGCGCAGGCGGUUCACUAAGUCUGAUGUGAAAGCCCCUGGCUUAACCGGGGAGGGUCAUUGGAAACUGGUGGACUUGAGUGCAGGAGAGGAGAGUGGAAUUCCACGUGUAGCGGUGAAAUGCGUAGAGAUGUGGAGGAACACCAGUGGCGAAAGCGGCUCUCUGGCCUGUAACUGACGCUGAGCGCGAAAGCGUGGGGAGCAAACAGGAUUAGAUACCCUGGUAGUCCACGCCGUAACGAUGAGUGCUAGUGUUGGGGGGGAGUAAUCUCCUCAGUGCUGAAGUUAACACAUUAAGCACUCCGCCUGGGGAGUACGGCCGCAGGCUGAACUCAAUGAUUGACGGAUCUCUAGAGGAUCCCCGGGUACCGAGCUCGAAUUCGUAAUCAUGUCAUAGCUGUUUCU